Molecule: ribosomal RNA, 203 nt
Filed under: uncultured Rhodoferax sp.
Lineage: Bacteria; Pseudomonadati; Pseudomonadota; Betaproteobacteria; Burkholderiales; Comamonadaceae
Description: partial 16S ribosomal RNA
Rfam family: Bacterial small subunit ribosomal RNA
Source: RNAcentral
AUGACGUCAAGUCCUCAUGGCCCUUAUAGGUGGGGCUACACACGUCAUACAAUGGCUGGUACAAAGGGUUGCCAACCCGCAGGGGGAGCCAAUCCCAUAAAGCCAGUCGUAGUCCGGAUCGUAGUCUGCAACUCGACUACGUGAAGUCGGAAUCGCUAGUAAUCGUGGAUCAGAAUGUCACGGUGAAUACGUUCCCGGGUCUU